Molecule: ribosomal RNA, 110 nt
Filed under: Staphylococcus microti
Lineage: Bacteria; Bacillati; Bacillota; Bacilli; Caryophanales; Staphylococcaceae
Description: partial 16S ribosomal RNA
Rfam family: Bacterial small subunit ribosomal RNA (bases 1-98)
Source: RNAcentral
UAACCAUUUGGAGCUAGCCGUCGAAGGUGGGACAAAUGAUUGGGGUGAAGUCGUAACAAGGUAGCCGUAUCGGAAGGUGCGGCUGGAUCACCUCCUUUCUAAGGAUAAUA